Molecule: ribosomal RNA, 271 nt
Filed under: uncultured bacterium
Lineage: Bacteria
Description: partial 16S ribosomal RNA
Rfam family: Bacterial small subunit ribosomal RNA
Source: RNAcentral
UACGUAGGGGGCAAGCUUGUCCGGAAUCAUUGGGCGUAAAGCGCGUGUAGGCGGCUCGGUAAGUCUGCUGUGAAAGUCCAGGCUCAACCCUGGGAUGCCGGUGGAUACUGUCGACUCGAGUCCGGAAGAGGCGAGUGGGAAUUCCUGGGUGUAGCGGGUGAAAUGCGCAGAUAUCAAGGAGGAACACCAAUGGCGAAGGCAGGCUCGCUGGGACGUGACUGACGCUGAGACGCGAAAGCGUGGGGAGCAAACAGGAUUAAGAAACCCCUGU